This 497-nucleotide ribosomal RNA is filed under the name uncultured bacterium. RNAcentral describes it as "partial 16S ribosomal RNA". It matches the Rfam family "Bacterial small subunit ribosomal RNA", at positions 28 to 507 of the family's 1533-position model. The record is from RNAcentral.
GAUGAACGCUGGCGGCGUGCCUAAUACAUGCAAGUCGAGCGAACAGACGAGGAGCUUGCUCCUCUGACGUUAGCGGCGGACGGGUGAGUAACACGUGGAUAACCUACCUAUAAGACUGGGAUAACUUCGGGAAACCGGAGCUAAUACCGGAUAAUAUAUUGAACCGCAUGGUUCAAUAGUGAAAGACGGUUUUGCUGUCACUUAUAGAUGGAUCCGCGCCGCAUUAGCUAGUUGGUAAGGUAACGGCUUACCAAGGCAACGAUGCGUAGCCGACCUGAGAGGGUGAUCGGCCACACUGGAACUGAGACACGGUCCAGACUCCUACGGGAGGCAGCAGUAGGGAAUCUUCCGCAAUGGGCGAAAGCCUGACGGAGCAACGCCGCGUGAGUGAUGAAGGUCUUCGGAUCGUAAAACUCUGUUAUUAGAGAAGAUCAAAUGUGUAAGUAACUAUGCACGUCUUGACGGUACCUAAUCAGAAAGCCACGGCUAACUACGUG